Molecule: long non-coding RNA, 1370 nt
Organism: Astatotilapia calliptera (eastern happy)
Lineage: Eukaryota; Metazoa; Chordata; Actinopteri; Cichliformes; Cichlidae
Source: Ensembl
CUUCCACAACAGUGGUUGCUAGUCUUCCUGGGGCCCAAACCAUCAAAUGUCACCGAAUAAAAUGUUACACAAUGAGUUGGAUGCAAAAUAUCCACAUAAUUUGGCUCUUACUUCCACAAUAAGGUUUUACAAUUCUGAAAAUAUAAGCAUGUAAAUAUUAAAAAUUAUAAAAAACACUCAAACAGAAUACACAAUUUCCAUUACAAAUGACAUUACCCUCUUACACAGUAUUUAUCAAAACUCAGAAGGAGGCAUUAUUUCCUCCUAUUAUAAAAACCAUUAAUUGUCCCAUUAAUAAUAGUGUUUCCACGUGCUUGGAAAGAAAACUCUCGCCCAGAAUUUGCUGCUUACCGGGGCUGCGGACUUGCUACGCCCUCUCUCCUUCACCUGGAUGCAUCCCUCCACAGUUACCAUAUCUCAGUACAAUACACCAUCCUUGGGAUGUUAUUGAAAGGGAAUUUUGGGUGACUAGCUGUGGCACAAAACUGAAAGUAUGCAUUUCUAUUUGCUUUUUCAUACAUAUUUGAAAAAAUUUAAAGUAAUUUGACUGAGAAUAUGAACAGUUAAAUGUGUUUAAAAAUAAUAGCUAUAGUUAACUUGCCAUAUAGUUAACUAAUUCAUUGUUCAUGGGGAUCACAGUUCAGUCCAUGUUUUUAAACAAGUUUAAAAAAUUGACACGUCAGUUAGAUUUUUUUGUGUUUAUUAUGUAUUUAUUUACUGGUUACCUCACUGCACAUUACAAAUGUUCUAUCUAUGGCACUUGGUGGUGCAUAGCCAGGAUUUAGGAUCACACUCCUCCCUGACACUCACCAGGCCAGGGGGCACAAAACAGACCAAUGUAAUGUUGGGCAGUACUCAGUAUUCAAUCAUAUCUAGAGCCAGAACACUCUAACGUUGAGAUUUGAAUUCUCCUUAUACACAGGCCCCCUGCCCACACAUUGUCUUGUGGAGUCAAACUAAAAACUAACUUCUACUAUGUUGUUGGCCCUCUUCAUGUCACUAAACCAGUUUUAGGUCAAAAAGACUUGGUCUCAACAAGCAUUUCAAGGGCUUGUGUGGUAUCUGAAAAAAAGAUGUUUUUCCACUCCAGCCUGGUCCUGCGGCGUCCACCUGUUCAUCAAUGCCAGCAAUCAGUGGGAGCUGUAUUUUAAGCAGCCACACCACGAGUCCAUGCCACGCUGAACUACUCUUCUCUUCCGUUAGCUGCUGAGCUCAGCUUAAGGUUGCUCACGCUUCUCUGGAUUCAUGCCGUCUUUACCUGCCUGUCCUCCUGCCCACCGGCUCUGGUUGCACCUGGAAAACAGUGUCCAUCACCUCAGAGACUUGCUGCCACUCUCAUAGUCGAACCAGGGCUCCUACAGUCACACCAU